GACGAACGCUGGCGGCGUGCUUAACACAUGCAAGUCGAACGGUGAAGGGACCAGCUUGCUGGUUCUGGAUGAGUGGCGAACGGGUGAGUAACUCGUGAGUAACCUGCCCCCUUCUUCUGGAUAACCGCAUGAAAGUGUGGCUAAUACGGGAUAUUCUGCGCCUGCUGCAUGGUGGGUGUGGGAAAGAUAUUGUUUCGGUGGGGGAUGGGCUCGCGGCCUAUCAGCUUGUUGGUGGGGUAAUGGCCUACCAAGGCGGCGACGGGUAGCCGGCCUGAGAGGGUGGACGGUCACACUGGGACUGAGACACGGCCCAGACUCCUACGGGAGGCAGCAGUGGGGAAUAUUGCACAAUGGGCGGAAGCCUGAUGCAGCGACGCCGCGUGGGGGAUGACGGCCUUCGGGUUGUAAACUCCUUUCACCAUCGACGAAGGGUUUCUGACGGUAGAUGGAGAAGAAGCACCGGCUAACCACGUGCCAGCAGCCGCGGUAAUACGUAGGGUGCGAGCGUUGUCCGGAAUUACUGGGCGUAAAGAGCUCGUAGGUGGUUUGUCGCGUCGUCUGUGAAAUUCCGGGGCUUAACUCCGGGCGUGCAGGCGAUACGGGCAUAACUUGAGUACUGUAGGGGAGACGGGAAUUCCUGGUGUAGCGGUGAAAUGCGCAGAUAUCAGGAGGAACACCGGUGGCGAAGGCGGGUCUCUGGGCAGUAACUGACGCUGAGGAGCGAAAGCAUGGGGAGCGAACAGGAUUAGAUACCCUGGUAGUCCAUGCCGUAAACGGUGGGCGCUAGGUGUGGGUUUCCUUCCACGGGAUCCGUGCCGUAGCUAACGCAUUAAGCGCCCCGCCUGGGGAGUACGGCCGCAAGGCUAAAACUCAAAGGAAUUGACGGGGGCCCGCACAAGCGGCGGAGCAUGUGGAUUAAUUCGAUGCAACGCGAAGAACCUUACCUGGGCUUGACAUAUACAGGAUCGCGCCAGAGAUGGUGUUUCCCUUGUGGCUUGUAUACAGGUGGUGCAUGGUUGUCGUCAGCUCGUGUCGUGAGAUGUUGGGUUAAGUCCCGCAACGAGCGCAACCCUUGUCUUAUGUUGCCAGCACGUUGUGGUGGGGACUCGUAAGAAACUGCCGGGGUUAACUCGGAGGAAGGUGGGGAUGACGUCAAAUCAUUAUGCCCCUUAUGUCCAGGGCUUCACACAUGCUACAAUGGUCGGUACAGUGGGUUGCCAGUCCGUGAGGGCGAGCUAAUCCCGCAAAGCCGGUCUCAGUUCGGAUCGGGGUCUGCAACUCGACCCCGUGAAGUCGGAGUCGCUAGUAAUCGCAGAUCAGCAACGCUGCGGUGAAUACGUUCCCGGGCCU
Molecule: ribosomal RNA, 1350 nt
Filed under: uncultured bacterium
Lineage: Bacteria
Description: bacterial SSU rRNA
Rfam family: Bacterial small subunit ribosomal RNA
Source: RNAcentral